This 68-nucleotide transfer RNA is filed under the name Marmota monax (woodchuck). RNAcentral's name for it is "tRNA.Ala". The record is from RNAcentral. Lineage: Eukaryota; Metazoa; Chordata; Mammalia; Rodentia; Sciuridae.
GGAUUGUGGCUCAGUGGUAGCAUGCUUGCCUUGCAUGCAUGAGGCACUGGGUUCUAUUCUCAGCACCA